RNAcentral lists this unclassified non-coding RNA (471 nucleotides) under Hevea brasiliensis (rubber tree). The record is from RNAcentral. Lineage: Eukaryota; Viridiplantae; Streptophyta; Magnoliopsida; Malpighiales; Euphorbiaceae.
CGUUUAUCUCAAUUCCAAAAUAACAAGUAUAAUAAAACCCUCGAAAAUGGAGAGUAGUUGAUCAAGAAUCUUGUCCUUGUCUAUGGCGUCCAUGCCUUAUUUUUCUAUUUUCUUUUCUGAGCUAUAUUUACAUCACAACCAUUUGUGAUUAAAGCUAUCUCAGAUGUAAUUUUCCUCUGUCAAUUCCAGACCUCUGCUGAUAGGUCUCGGGUACAUCAACAUAUCUCAAAUGUACCUUUCCUCUGUUAAUAAACACUGGGGUGCUGUCGAGAGAGAUUUUGCAGGAGCAUUCGUCAUAUUGUCCCACCGGACAAUGUGUCAAAUACGUGCACUGUCGAACCUCUAUGUUCUUCGCAGUAUGUGAGAUAAAAAUGGAGAGUAGCUUAAUAAUGGGUAGCCUGCAGGGAAAGCCGAGUCUCCGGGUAAAAAUUGAGGAGCUUAAUUUCGUGUUUUCUGUGGUACUUCGACGAG